GACAGAGGUCCCAAGCGUUGUUCGGAUUUACUGGGCGUAAAGGGCGCGUAGGCGGCCGGGCCCGUCCGGCGUGAAAGCCCGCAGCUUAACUGCGGAAGGGCGCACGGAUACUACCCGGCUCGAGGGUUGGAGAGGGGAUUGGAAUUCUCGGUGUAGCGGUGAAAUGCGUAGAGCUCGAGAAGAACACCAGUGGCGAAGGCGAGUCCCUGGACAAUUCCUGACGCUGAGGCGCGAAAGCCGGGGGA
RNAcentral lists this ribosomal RNA (245 nucleotides) under uncultured bacterium. RNAcentral's name for it is "partial 16S ribosomal RNA". It matches the Rfam family "Bacterial small subunit ribosomal RNA", at positions 524 to 767 of the family's 1533-position model. The record is from RNAcentral.